AGAAACGAAACAGUGAUGUGGAGUAAAACUCAAAAAGACGGUCCCAGUUCGAAUUGAAGGCUGAAAUUCGCCUUCAUGAAGUCGGAAUUGCUAGUAAUGGCAGGUCAGCAUACUGCCGUGAAUACGUUCCCGGGCCUUGUACACACCGCCCGUCACACCAUGAGAGUUGGAGAUACCCGAAGCCUGUGAGCUAACUUUUAGAGGCAGCAGUCGAAGGUAGAAUCAAUGAUUGGGGUGAAGUCGUAACAAGGUAGC
Molecule: ribosomal RNA, 255 nt
Filed under: uncultured bacterium
Lineage: Bacteria
Description: partial 16S ribosomal RNA
Rfam family: Bacterial small subunit ribosomal RNA
Source: RNAcentral